Molecule: RNA transcript, 2324 nt
Organism: Neltuma alba
Lineage: Eukaryota; Viridiplantae; Streptophyta; Magnoliopsida; Fabales; Fabaceae
Exons: 4
Source: RefSeq, a predicted model, not a curated record
GCACGAAUCCAUAUGGAAGAGAAACCAAAAGAGGAUUCUGGGGAGGCGAUAAUAAUAGUUAACAACAAUGAUGUUCUUGUUAACGCAGCUGCUUUGGUGAACGAUCCAUUUGAGGAGGAGUUGCAGAGGAGGACUCAAGGGUUGCAGACUGAGUCCCAGUUGUUGGAAUUCAUGGGAAGUUUAGAUGGAGAAUGGGCAAGCCAAAGGAAGAGAAGGAGGAUCGUGCCGGCUGGCUAUUUUGGCGACUUUUUGCCCAGAGGAUGGAAGAUCAUGCUUUCUCUCAAGAGAAGAGCAGGUCACGUGUGGAUAAUCUGUCGCCGUUACAUAAGCCCUGAUGGGCGACAGUUUGUGUCAUGCAAGGAAGUUUCUUCGUACUUGCUUUCUUGUUUUGGACUUCAAGAGAUAAGCAAUUUAGAUUCUAGUCAUACCGAUGGAAGCCUGCAGUUUCUGGGUAAAAUGGCGCCUGAAAAUGGUGUUGGUUUGCUCCCUACGAGUGACAUGAAGGCCUUGAAUAUUUCAAGUAAUUUGCUUAUCCCUAGCGCAUCUGCACCCGUUGAUCAUGCAAAUCAGGCCACCCUAUCAUCAUCAAUUGGAAGUGGUGAGAAAAAAAAUUCUGAUGAGAAUGUCAAUCAAGAUCUGGUUUCAGGUACUAAACCAGGAGGAGAUAGUGCAGCUUGUGGCAGAAUGUUUACUGGCUUCAACCAUCACGGAAGUUUGUUUAUUGAUGAGCGACCUUUGAAGGCUAAUCAGAAUGAUAAAAAUGCAGUUCAGGGAUGUUCUCCUGUGGAUGGUAAAGUCGGUAAUGAAGCUAAUGAGAAAUUGGAUGAGGUUCAUGAUGUUGCUUCCAGACCUGAUGCUCAUUUGGACGCCAGAAAUUUCUCCAAUAAUGAGAGUAAUGGUAAUUGUGAAUUCAUUGAUGAAAUAAAUGCUGUCAAAUGCAUGAAAAGUGGAAGUGGUAAUUUUGUUAAUCAAGAUGGAAAUACCAGAUGCCCUGAAACUAUUUCUUGUGGAAAUGCGCAACCAUUUGUUUUCAAAAGCAGUGGAUAUGAGCUUCCUGUAAGAUUGGUGGAGGAUUUUGGGGAGCAGAUAGAUUUUGGAAGUGGCAAGCUUCCUCCAAAUUUUGAAGAGAAAAGACGUGCUGCUGAUGGAUUGGAAGAUGUGAAUAUUAAACAUGGAAAUCUAUUUGAGAAUGACAGGUGGCUCACCAACUCAGGCAACUGUCACUUGGAAACUGAAGAUGUUUUGAACAGUUUUAAACUUGCUGGUAGUUCAGAAGGCUUUUCGGCUGCCCAUUCCCGUAUUGAGCUAAAAGAUGUUUCUGUUAAUAGCGUGAAAAGGAUAGGUGGACUAGAUAUUGAUCCUAAUGUCAAGGUGAUUAAGGAUUUUAAUGAUGAUCAUACUCCUCAUAAUGAGGGUGUUGUGACAAGCUUUGCACUGGAAACGAGUUCCUCGAAGGAGCAAGGUUUUGGUUGCAAAAUUGACAGUUUAUUUGCCAGAAGCAUUGAACAAAAUUUAGUUAUGCCAGCUGGUGAUGAACCCCCUUCUGCUUUUGAUAAUAAUUCAAAUAUUGCCUUCUCUGGCACCUUAGAUACACUUAAAACUGUUGAAGCGGCCUGCAAGAACCCUCCAUUAGACCUUGUGUGCUGCAAUAAUGAUGCCGCAGCAGAUGCAUAUAGUACCACAAGCAUGAUAAUGGGAAGGUCUGGUGGCCGUGUAUCUAGUCCUUUGAGUAGCAGUAUUCAAAAUAAAUUUGAGGGGCAAGGUCAUGAUGGAGUGGAUAAUGCUGAUAAAUUUUGCUUAACAAAGGUGGCUAAGGGUGACCAAGUUGAAGUAUGUGAGAACGAUGAGGCAUUACUAGCAUUUGGCCGCAACCAGAUUGAGUCAGGUGUUGAUAUGACAAGCAGUGGGUGGAAGAAUGUUUAAACAAGCGAUGGAUAGUAGUUUUGCAGAAUGAACUGGUUUCCACAAUCCUCUGCUUGUAUAUUCUCAAGUCACUAACAAGGAUAGUAUCCUGGAAAAGGACUGCAUUUGUGAUGUUGAACUCGGUCUUGAAAUGAGCCAAGUUGAGAUGAAUGACCUCGAGCGAUUGGGUAUUGCACAGGGAGGCUCUUCUAGCUGAUAUGGCGACGGAACUUGUACAACCAGCGUGACAGCCCAUCAUGACCUGAAUGCUGUAGAUUCCAGCACAAACGGAGACUGACCACCGCUAUUUAUCUGCAAAUUGGUUCGUAUACCAGUGACCAAUGCAACAUCGUUUCCCUACAAAGCUCUUUGGGCUUGAAUUUUUGAAAUCCGAUGGUACUGACUUACGUUACGUUCUUCAG